Molecule: long non-coding RNA, 344 nt
Filed under: Scophthalmus maximus (turbot)
Lineage: Eukaryota; Metazoa; Chordata; Actinopteri; Pleuronectiformes; Scophthalmidae
Description: lncRNA (ENSSMAG00000025345.1)
Source: RNAcentral
AUGAAUGAAAGUCUUCAUGUCAAACGCUGUUUGUGUUUUGUCUCAUUACAGACGAGGAGGUUGCGCUGCCGGAACGAGGCGCAACAAGGACACAAGGUAAUUUUUGUUGCACAGAUCUUGAGAGCCGUGGAGCUGCUGUGUGUUUCCCGGUCAACGCGGGCUUUGAUCGGAACUGAUCCUGGACCACAGUCGGAGCUCAGUCGAGGAGGAAAACAUGACAAGCUGGGGGAGACGAGAGAUGGAGCUGUAAACGUUGAGACCACAUGUAAGAAAACAGUACAGAAUUAUUAAAUCUAUUAUAAAAAAAAAAUACUGCUUCACACAUCUUGUACUGCUGCAUUUCG